GUGGCCUUUUAAGGUCGGCACAAUGCUUUCAGAAGCUAACAUAGAAGGGUAAAUAUCCUCUCUGGAUUCUUUCUGAAGUCACAGUG
This 86-nucleotide small nucleolar RNA is filed under the name Carlito syrichta (Philippine tarsier). RNAcentral describes it as "Small nucleolar RNA SNORA26 (ENSTSYG00000024654.2)". Lineage: Eukaryota; Metazoa; Chordata; Mammalia; Primates; Tarsiidae. The record is from RNAcentral.